RNAcentral lists this ribosomal RNA (388 nucleotides) under uncultured bacterium. RNAcentral describes it as "bacterial SSU rRNA". It matches the Rfam family "Bacterial small subunit ribosomal RNA", at positions 28 to 417 of the family's 1533-position model. The record is from RNAcentral.
GACGAACGCUGGCGGCGUGCUUAACACAUGCAAGUCGAGCGGUAAGGCCCUUUCGGGGGUACACGAGCGGCGAACGGGUGAGUAACACGUGGGUGACCUGCCCUCAGCUCUGGGAUAAGCCUGGGAAACUGGGUCUAAUACCGGAUAUGACUCCAUGACGCAUGUUGUGGGGUGGAAAGCCUUGUGCGGCUGGGGAUGGGCCCGCGGCCUAUCAGCUUGUUGGUGGGGUGANGGCCUACCAAGGCGACGACGGGUAGCCGGCCUGAGAGGGCGACCGGCCACACUGGGACUGAGACACGGCCCAGACUCCUACGGGAGGCAGCAGUGGGGAAUCUUGCGCAAUGGGCGAAAGCCUGACGCAGCGACGCCGCGUGAGGGAUGACGGCCU